GCCACCCCUGAAGAUCGAUGCCUGACUAAUCUCUUUUUUAUAGGGUGAAGGGCAAAGGGCAGUAUGCUCGGAUGAUAAGCCCCCACGUCAUGCUAACCUUGAUUUUCCAAAGCUAGUUUUGUGUGGUCAAUGGUAGUGUCGUACUUUACAUUAGCAGAAUUUUUGCAGGGUGGCGUUAGACAGACUUGGUAGUAACACCAUUUUCCAAGGGGAAGUGUGCAAUUAAUCUUGAGGAAUUACUCUCCCAGGCGAGGGCCGGAGGUUUGGCGAUGCAAGACAAACAUGUCAAGUCAUGACCGACAGCAAAAAUGCCACAUUAUGGGCUCAUAUGACCUCAUUGUUCAAACCAGGGUUCCAUCCAUGUGGAUUUGGGUCCCACAUAUCAUGGUG
Molecule: long non-coding RNA, 390 nt
Filed under: Elaeis guineensis (African oil palm)
Lineage: Eukaryota; Viridiplantae; Streptophyta; Magnoliopsida; Arecales; Arecaceae
Description: long non-coding RNA (EGUI_LNC007192)
Source: RNAcentral